CCUACGGGAGGCAGCAGUGAGGAAUAUUGGACAAUGGGCGGGAGCCUGAUCCAGCCAUGUCGCGUGCAGGAAGACUGCCCUAUGGGUUGUAAACUGCUUUUAUACAGGAAGAAUAAGCCCUACGUGUAAGGUGAUGACGGUACUGUAAGAAUAAGGACCGGCUAACUCCGUGCCAGCAGCCGCGGUAAUACGGAGGGUCCGAGCGUUAUCCGGAAUUAUUGGGUUUAAAGGGUCCGUAGGCGGAUGAUUAAGUCAGGGGUGAAAGUUUGCAGCUCAACUGUAAAAUUGCCUUUGAUACUGGUUAUCUUGAGUUGUAUUGAAGUAGGCGGAAUAUGUAGUGUAGCGGUGAAAUGCAUAGAUAUUACAUAGAACACCAAUUGCGAAGGCAGCUUACUAAGUACUAACUGACGCUGAUGGACGAAAGCGUGGGUAGCGAACAGGAUUAGAUACCCUGGUAGUCCACGCCGUAAACGAUGGAUACUAGCUGUUCGGGGCCUUGAGCUCUGAGCGGCUAAGCGAAAGUGAUAAGUAUCCCACCUGGGGAGUACGUUCACAAGAAUGAAACUCAAAGGAAUUGACGG
RNAcentral lists this ribosomal RNA (581 nucleotides) under uncultured bacterium. RNAcentral describes it as "bacterial SSU rRNA". It matches the Rfam family "Bacterial small subunit ribosomal RNA", at positions 338 to 916 of the family's 1533-position model. The record is from RNAcentral.